This is a long non-coding RNA of Nycticebus coucang (slow loris), 431 nucleotides long. RefSeq lists it as uncharacterized. The transcript is spliced from 3 exons. The record is from RefSeq and is a predicted model, not a curated record. NCBI's taxonomy places the organism in Eukaryota, Metazoa, Chordata, Mammalia, Primates, Lorisidae.
AUCUGUCUCCCGCCUACCCACAGCAGUUGCUCCAUAGUCACCAGUGGUUGCACCUGCCACAGGAGGAGGAAGGGUCAAAACGGACAAACUUGUCUUGGGGUUUUAGGACAGACAGAUAUCCACUCGAGCUCAGACAACAGCAGCAAGAAGAUCGCAGCAAACACCUGAACCCCACAGUCUCCCCAGAAGCCCAGCAUUCGCGGUCCCCGGAGUCUGCCUAAGAGCGCUGCGCCCGGCCUCUCCCCUGUCAUCUCUUCCCUCGGCUGCAGCGACGCUGGCCACUGGACUACAUACACAGGAGACAGAGUCUCACUUUACCGCCUUCAGUAGAGUGCCAUGAUGUCACAGGACUCACAGCAACCUCUAGCUCUUGGGCUUCCGCGAUUCUCCUGCCUCAGCCUCCCGAGUAGCUGGGACUACAGGCGCCACAA